Molecule: non-coding RNA, 753 nt
Organism: Microcebus murinus (gray mouse lemur)
Lineage: Eukaryota; Metazoa; Chordata; Mammalia; Primates; Cheirogaleidae
Source: RefSeq, a predicted model, not a curated record
UUCGCCAUCGCUUUCCCGCGCAGCCCAGGGGCCCCUUCCGGGAUCUGUAGCACAGUGGAGGCCUGCGGGCGACGCGGGGCCCUGGGGCCACCCUGAGGGGUGCACGGCGUCCCCAGAGUGAGGAGGCUUCGCGUAGCAGAACCUGGACGACAUCCGAAGGUGCAAUUAGCAGAAAAUGACAUCGCAGAAUCAUUGUCAUAUGAAGAGGCAUUCAAAGUUCAAAGAGUAUGAAGCCAAAAAAGACUGAGCUGUCAGGUAUACUAGCCGGGGAUGUGUAUGUACUGAGUAGCGGGCACAGCAAACUUCGUCUUCCAGAAGCUUCAUCACACUUCAUGUAAAACAAUAAGUGAAGAAAAUCUAUACAUUUGCUUCCAGUUGUGAUCUUGUGAGUUCAAGGCAAAUUGCCAUGUUCAACAUCUGGGAUUCAUCAUGUCUGGUGUUACCUCAUUGAUGGGCACACAUCUUUCCCAGAUGUGGGGGGAAAAACGGCCUAUGAAGUUACAAGGAAAGCAAACCAGUAUUCAUGCUCUCAGCUUUCUGCUACAGCCAGGUUCUGGCUUUCUCGCUGUUUAAUUUCUUGCUUCAUAAAAGGGAAGAAGAUGGAGAAGCCAAGGUUUCUUUGAAAACAGAUAUUUGCACAAGGAGGCGGCCAAGGCUGUGUUAACAUUUACCAUUAAAACCCAACACAUCUAGAUGAAACACCAAAUGCAAAAGCUUCCUGUCUCCCAAAUAAAUCUCUUUUGCAAUUUGUCA